UAGCGAAGAGGUCACACCCGUUCCCAUGCCGAACACGGAAGUUAAGCUCUUCAGCGCCGAUGGUAGUCGGGGGUUUCCCCCUGUGAGAGUAGGACGCCGCCAAGCU
RNAcentral lists this ribosomal RNA (106 nucleotides) under Bacillus velezensis. Lineage: Bacteria; Bacillati; Bacillota; Bacilli; Caryophanales; Bacillaceae. The record is from RNAcentral.